UUAUUUUGGAAUUAGAAAAGUCGU
This 24-nucleotide microRNA is filed under the name Gossypium raimondii (Peruvian cotton). RNAcentral describes it as "gra-miR8766". The record is from miRBase by way of RNAcentral. Lineage: Eukaryota; Viridiplantae; Streptophyta; Magnoliopsida; Malvales; Malvaceae.